AACACUGUUAACCUGCGGUACCUGCGGAGGGAUCAUUAUAGUAUAUGGAAUCUCCAUUCUAUAAACCCACUCUGCGUAUCUUGUAACUGUUGCUUCCAUGGGACUUGGUUCCGCCACACCGGCUUCACGGCUGGUGAGCGCCCAUGGAAGGAGAAACAAGACUCUUCUUUGAAAUGUAGUCAGUCUGAACAAGUUUUUAUAAACGUUAAAACUUUCAGCAACGGAUCUCAGAUCGGAAGA
RNAcentral lists this unclassified non-coding RNA (240 nucleotides) under soil metagenome. Its description in RNAcentral is "partial contains 5.8S ribosomal RNA, internal transcribed spacer 2, and large subunit ribosomal RNA". The record is from RNAcentral.